RNAcentral lists this ribosomal RNA (201 nucleotides) under uncultured bacterium. RNAcentral describes it as "partial 16S ribosomal RNA". It matches the Rfam family "Bacterial small subunit ribosomal RNA", at positions 328 to 539 of the family's 1533-position model. The record is from RNAcentral.
ACGCUCGACACCUACGGGGGGCAGCGGUGGGGAAUAUUGGGCAAUGGGCGAAAGCCUGACCCAGCAACGCCGCGUGAGGGAAGAAGGUUUUCGGAUUGUAAACCUCUGUCCUCAGGGACGAAGGACGUGACGGUACCUGAGGAGGAAGCCCCGGCUAACUACGUACCAGCAGCCGCGGUAAUCUGAGCGGGCUGGCAAGGC